RNAcentral lists this long non-coding RNA (1220 nucleotides) under Equus caballus (horse). Its description in RNAcentral is "lncRNA (ENSECAG00000050357.1)". Lineage: Eukaryota; Metazoa; Chordata; Mammalia; Perissodactyla; Equidae. The record is from RNAcentral.
CAGUCAGGAUGGGUGGCAGGGACAUAAGGCAUUUUAUGAGAAUGGUCUCAUAUUCCCAAAGUACAUACUAUGAUCUCCUUUUUACAGAUCCUAAGAGACUCAGAAAGGCUAAGUAACUUGCCAAAGUUCAUAAAGCUAGCAAGGGGCUAGAAAAGGAUUUCAACACGGAGUGCUUGUUUCCAAAGCCUGAGUUCCUCCCCUACACUUCUUCCUUAGACCCCAAGAGGAAAAGAAGAGGUGCUGUGGAGGUUCAAAGAAGAGAGAGAGUUGAGGAUUCAAAGUCCUGAAGGUCCAUUCUUUGGUUUCAAGAAGGCAGGACAUCAGGAACUUCCAUCAUGGGAGCAGGUUCAUUUCCAGAAAGAAAAUCCAGUCAGUUUUGCCAAAUGUGAGGAAAAGAGAAAUUGCAAAAAACAAAACAAAACAAAAAACCAAUAAAGCCGACUAUAACUGGGGCAGGCACAGCCAAUUUACCAUGCAGUCUCCUUUGAUUUGGUUCAAAGAGGCAAAGUGCCCAGUUUCAAGUCCUCUUGCCUCCAGCCCAGGCAUCCUUACAACUAGGAGUAGCUGUAAGAUCCAGUUCUGGCCAAUGAGAUGUAUGCAGAAUCCAAUGGGUGGAGCUCCUGGGUAACCUCUUUAAAAGGAAAUGUCCCCUUUGGCAUGUGGUCCUUCCUUUGUUUGCACCUGAAAAUAGUCGUGAUGCCUGGAGGAGCAGCAGCCAUCCUGUGCCCUGAAACUGAAAGCAAUGUUCUAGGGCUGCAGAUGGGAAGGUGGAAGGACGGAGCCUGGGUCCUCGAGGACUUUACAAAACCACUUACUUGAUAGGAGAGACAGGGUGAAACUCCAGCCGUCUGCCUCCAGAACCCACAUGACAAUUAGGUUAAUGACAGUGUUUGGGGUCAGGGGGUUGGCGGAGGUGGUCUCCUUUCACUGGAGUUCAGCUCUCAAAUGACUAUGCAGGAAGCUUCACCUGACCCCCAGAAUAAGUCAGGAUUCCCCCAUUUUAUAGAUUGGUGGCUCACCAGUCAUUUCCCUCCCAGCAGUUACCACAAUUAUUCGUGUCACUGUAUAAUGCCUGCGACCAGUGCAGACUCUGAGUUUGCAAGGACCCAGUCUUUAUCUACAUAUGUAUCUGUAUCUAUAUCCGUAUCUGUAGCUUUGUCUAUAUCUAUAUCCAUAUCCCUAUCCACAUAUCUAUGUAACUAAAACCAUUGUGUCCCUGG